GACGAACGCUGGCGGCGUGCCUAAUACAUGCAAGUCGAACGCAGUGGGGACGGGUGAGUAACACGUGGGUAACCUCCCAUCAGAGGGGAUAACACUUGGAAACAGGUGCUAAACCGAUACUGAUGGCGGGAACCGCGGUGCAUUAGCUAGUUGGUGAGGUAACGGAUCACAAAGGCCACGAUGCAUAGCCGACCUUAUCGGUUGAUCGUCCACACUGGGACUUAUACACGGUCCAGACUCCUACGGGAGGCAGCAGUAGGGAAUCAUCCGCAAUGGUCGAAAGCCUGACGGAGCAACGCCGCGUGAGUGAUGAAUGUCUUCGGAUCGUAAAACUCUGUUAUUAGUGAAGCGGGACCUAAUCAGAAGGCCACGGCUAACGACGUGCCAGCAGCCGCGAUAAUAC
This 403-nucleotide ribosomal RNA is filed under the name uncultured bacterium. RNAcentral describes it as "partial 16S ribosomal RNA". It matches the Rfam family "Bacterial small subunit ribosomal RNA", at positions 28 to 526 of the family's 1533-position model. The record is from RNAcentral.